Molecule: ribosomal RNA, 380 nt
Filed under: uncultured bacterium
Lineage: Bacteria
Description: bacterial SSU rRNA
Rfam family: Bacterial small subunit ribosomal RNA
Source: RNAcentral
AUUGAACGCUGGCGGCAGGUCUAACACAUGCAAGUCGAGCGGUAGAGAGGUGCUUGCACCUGGUGGCGAGUGGCGAACGGGUGAGUAAUACAUCGGAACGUACCUUAUCGUGGGGAUAACGCAGCGAAAGCUGUGCUAAUACCGCAUACGCCCUGAGGGGGAAAGCGGGGGAUCGAAAGACCUCGCGCGAUUAGAGCGGCCGAUGCCUGAUUGGCUUGUUGUGGGUAAAGCCCACCAAGGCGACGAUCAGUAGCUGGUCUGAGAGGACGAUCAGCCACACUGGGACUGAGACACGGCCCAGACUCCUACGGAGGCAGCAGUGGGGAAUUUUGGACAAUGGGCGCAAGCCUGAUCCAGCAAUGCCGCGUGCAGGAUGAAGG